RNAcentral lists this ribosomal RNA (253 nucleotides) under uncultured bacterium. RNAcentral describes it as "partial 16S ribosomal RNA". It matches the Rfam family "Bacterial small subunit ribosomal RNA", at positions 524 to 776 of the family's 1533-position model. The record is from RNAcentral.
UACAGAGGUCCCAAGCGUUGUUCGGAUUCACUGGGCGUAAAGGGUGCGUAGGUGGCAGGGUAAGUUUGAUGUGAAAUCUCCGGGCUUAACCCGGAAACUGCAUUGAAUACUAUCCUGCUCGAGGUUUGGAGGGGGGACUGGAAUUCUCGGUGUAGCAGUGAAAUGCGUAGAUAUCGAGAGGAACACCAGUGGCGAAGGCGAGUCCCUGGACAACACCUGACACUGAGGCACGAAAGCGUGGGGAUCAAACAGG